CUGCGUUGUCUGCGUCUGACGGUGCAGUGUGGCCUUAACUCAUCCUGGACACAUUCUAAAGCUCUUAUACUAAAAGUAUUCUGUGUUUUCUCUUGUUUGCUGGAACAGAAACCAUCUCUAUCUGUCCGAAAAUCAUGGAGUGGGCCUAUGAAGUCUAGUCUCACAAUAUAAACAGCAGACCAGGUGAAAGGCACAGGACAUUAUGAGAUGGCUCUUCUGGCAUUCAGUAGCAGCCGUUGACAUCAGUAAUGACAGGAACGUCAGGUCAAUCUGCUGCUGUCCAGAAUCAGGUGGUUUGUCUUCGUCUGGCAUCUCAGCUGAGACCUGUCCACUAUGGGUGACCCUACCAGUAGUUGUGAAGUACCAGUAGCGUAGCUCUCAGCAUCACUGAUGCACACAAGCCCUCACAGCACGUCAAGCUGCAAACCGUGUGAGAGACCCUAACCUACCCUAACCUACCCUAACCAGCCACUCAAAACAUCCUAACAACCACAGAGCAACGCACGAAAAACCAACCAGAAGAGGCCAGCAACCGCAAAGCAACACGCUAACAACCGUGCAAAAAACCUUGGCAAACGCAUGUCAACACACAGGAAACCACCCAAAACAUCCCAACAACCUCGUAGCAAAAACCACUUAGAACAUCCUGGGAACCGAAUAUCAACGCAUUGACAAUCACCAAAAACAUUCUAACAACCAGACAGCAAUGUGCAAAAGACUUACUCCAGAAAAUAAAACUUACUAUAGAAAAUGAAACUUGCUCAUAAAACUAUAAACUUACUCUAUGACUAUAUACAGUAUUUACAUACGUCGGUCCCGCUGUGUGAUUCUCCGGGCUCCAUGUGACACUGUGAUGACUCAGUGUCUGGGCUUCUUUCUCCGGGGUUCCUCAGGCAGGGGCUCUUCACUGAUGUCCACGUGGAUUUGAGGAGCGAAGCUUCUGCUGGUUGUGGAGAAGCUCUCAGUGAUCAGGACGCGUCCAUCAGGCUGCUCCGUCUCCACCAGUGAAGGGCACUUGAGUGUCUCCCACAGCCGCUGCUUGAUCUUCAGUCCCAGCUCAAGACUGUAGGGACGGCGCCGACCGCAGCGUGUCUUCAUCAUGGGCUCCGCCACAGAGCUGUAGAUGUCCUGGUAGUCCCUGCACGCUGCAGCCGUGGAUGGAGACAGGCUCUUCCUGCUGACACACGUCCACUGAAGAGACUGAGGCUGCUGGACGGAUUUCAGGAAGGACAGCAGCGUUCUUCAGGAGGUAGCGCUCCUCCAAACACGUGGGUCUUUGAGCUUUCCCAGAGAUACAGCUGUAAGUGUGAUCCAACCUGAUUACAGCUGCCAGCUGUGAAAGCUCACAGGGGUCUGGACUGGAAGAGACGCCCUCCAACAAGAAUCCCCUCAGGUGUGUGGGAAGAGCCCUGCUUCUUCUCGAGCGACGCUGCAUCAUGAUGGUGACAGGAGAAACACUUUCCAAACUGGACAACUUGAUGAAACUUACCAAAUUGUAUAGAUGUAAAGCGCUUGUAGCACGUGUGAUCAGGCUUCAAGGCUUCAGAAACAGUUGUUUUGAUUUCAAAUAUUCAAAUAUCAACUCAAGCUGCUGGACUGACAUAGAAUAUUGAGGCUCAUUUAAAUGUAAA
Long non-coding RNA from Ctenopharyngodon idella (grass carp), 1631 nucleotides. RefSeq lists it as uncharacterized. The record is from RefSeq and is a predicted model, not a curated record. The transcript has 4 exons. NCBI's taxonomy places the organism in Eukaryota, Metazoa, Chordata, Actinopteri, Cypriniformes, Xenocyprididae.